GGAAGGUUAGCUCAGGGGUAGAGCACUGCAUUCACACUGCAGGGGUCCGCAGUUCGAAACUGCGACUUUCCACCA
RNAcentral lists this transfer RNA (75 nucleotides) under Herbaspirillum lusitanum. RNAcentral's name for it is "tRNA-Val". It matches the Rfam family "tRNA". From Rfam's summary of the family: Transfer RNA (tRNA) molecules are approximately 80 nucleotides in length. Their secondary structure includes four short double-helical elements and three loops (D, anti-codon, and T loops). Further hydrogen bonds mediate the characteristic L-shaped molecular structure. tRNAs have two regions of fundamental functional importance: the anti-codon, which is responsible for specific mRNA codon recognition, and the 3' end, to which the tRNAs corresponding amino acid is attached (by aminoacyl-tRNA synthetases). tRNAs cope with the degeneracy of the genetic code in two manners: having more than one tRNA (with a specific anti-codon) for a particular amino acid; and 'wobble' base-pairing, i.e. permitting non-standard base-pairing at the 3rd anti-codon position. Lineage: Bacteria; Pseudomonadati; Pseudomonadota; Betaproteobacteria; Burkholderiales; Oxalobacteraceae. The record is from RNAcentral. RNAcentral also lists the same sequence under 8 other names.